AUUGAACGCUGGCGGCAGACCUAACACAUGCAAGUCGAGCGGAGCGGCGGACGGGUGAGGAAUGCCUAGGAAGCUGCCUGGUAGUGGGGGAUAACGUCCGGAAACGGGCGCUAAUACCGCAUACUAGCAGAUGAGCCUAGGUCGGAUUAGCUAGUUGGUGGGGUAAAGGCCUACCAAGGCGACGAUCCGUAACUGGUCGGAGAGGAUGAUCAGCCACACUGGAACUGAGACACGGUCCAGACUCCUACGGGAGGCAGCAGUAGGGAAUAUUGGACAAUGGGCGAAAGCCUGAGCGAGCAAUGCCGCGUGUGUGAAGAAGGUCUUCGGAUUGUAAAGCACUUUAAGUUGGGAGGCGUUACCAACAGAAUAAGCAACGGCUAACUUCGUGCCAGCCGCCGCGGUAAUAC
This 407-nucleotide ribosomal RNA is filed under the name uncultured bacterium. Its description in RNAcentral is "partial 16S ribosomal RNA". It matches the Rfam family "Bacterial small subunit ribosomal RNA", at positions 30 to 526 of the family's 1533-position model. The record is from RNAcentral.